RNAcentral lists this ribosomal RNA (503 nucleotides) under uncultured bacterium. RNAcentral describes it as "bacterial SSU rRNA". It matches the Rfam family "Bacterial small subunit ribosomal RNA", at positions 23 to 518 of the family's 1533-position model. The record is from RNAcentral.
CUCAGGAUGAACGCUAGCUACAGGCUUAACACAUGCAAGUCGAGGGGCAGCAUUGGAGUAGCAAUACUCAGAUGGCGACCGGCGCACGGGUGAGUAACACGUAUCCAACCUGCCGCUUACUCGGGGAUAGCCUUUCGAAAGAAAGAUUAAUACCCGAUGGUAUAAAGAGUUCGCAUGUUCUCUUUAUUAAAGAAUUUCGGUAAGCGAUGGGGAUGCGUUCCAUUAGAUAGUUGGCGGGGUAACGGCCCACCAAGUCUACGAUGGAUAGGGGUUCUGAGAGGAAGGUCCCCCACAUUGGAACUGAGACACGGUCCAAACUCCUACGGGAGGCAGCAGUGAGGAAUAUUGGUCAAUGGACGAGAGUCUGAACCAGCCAAAGUAGCGUGAAGGAUGACUGCCCUAUGGGUUGUAAACUUCUUUUAUAAGGGAAUAAAGUGAGGGACGUGUCCCUUUUUGUAUGUACCUUAUGAAUAAGGAUCGGCUAACUCCGUGCCAGCCGCGGC